This 497-nucleotide ribosomal RNA is filed under the name uncultured bacterium. Its description in RNAcentral is "partial 16S ribosomal RNA". It matches the Rfam family "Bacterial small subunit ribosomal RNA", at positions 28 to 507 of the family's 1533-position model. The record is from RNAcentral.
GAUGAACGCUGGCGGCGUGCCUAAUACAUGCAAGUCGAGCGAACGGACGAGAAGCUUGCUUCUCUGAUGUUAGCGGCGGACGGGUGAGUAACACGUGGAUAACCUACCUAUAAGACUGGGAUAACUUCGGGAAACCGGAGCUAAUACCGGAUAAUAUUUUGAACCGCAUGGUUCAAAAGUGAAAGACGGUCUUGCUGUCACUUAUAGAUGGAUCCGCGCUGCAUUAGCUAGUUGGUAAGGUAACGGCUUACCAAGGCAACGAUGCAUAGCCGACCUGAGAGGGUGAUCGGCCACACUGGAACUGAGACACGGUCCAGACUCCUACGGGAGGCAGCAGUAGGGAAUCUUCCGCAAUGGGCGAAAGCCUGACGGAGCAACGCCGCGUGAGUGAUGAAGUUCUUCGGAUCGUAAAACUCUGUUAUUAGGGAAGAACAUAUGUGUAAGUAACUGUGCACAUCUUGACGGUACCUAGUCAGAAAGCCACGGCUAACUACGUG